Molecule: non-coding RNA, 253 nt
Filed under: Pseudoxanthomonas dokdonensis
Lineage: Bacteria; Pseudomonadati; Pseudomonadota; Gammaproteobacteria; Lysobacterales; Lysobacteraceae
Also listed under: 3 other names
Description: partial 16S ribosomal RNA
Rfam family: Bacterial small subunit ribosomal RNA
Source: RNAcentral
UACGAAGGGUGCAAGCGUUACUCGGAAUUACUGGGCGUAAAGCGUGCGUAGGUGGUUGUUUAAGUCUGCUGUGAAAGCCCUGGGCUCAACCUGGGAAUUGCAGUGGAUACUGGGCGACUAGAGUGUGGUAGAGGAUAGUGGAAUUUCCGGUGUAGCAGUGAAAUGCGUAGAGAUCGGAAGGAACAUCUGUGGCGAAGGCGACUAUCUGGGCCAACACUGACACUGAGGCACGAAAGCGUGGGGAGCAAACAGG